CCAGACUCCUACGGGAGGCAGCAGUGGGGAAUAUUGCACAAUGGGCGGAAGCCUGAUGCAGCAACGCCGCGUGCGGGAUGACGGCCUUCGGGUUGUAAACCGCUUUCGCCUGUGACGAAGCGUGAGUGACGGUAAUGGGUAAAGAAGCACCGGCUAACUACGUGCCAGCAGCCGCGGUGAUACGUAGGGUGCGAGCGUUGUCCGGAUUUAUUGGGCGUAAAGGGCUCGUAGGUGGUUGAUCGCGUCGGAAGUGUAAUCUUGGGGCUUAACCCUGAGCGUGCUUUCGAUACGGGUUGACUUGAGGAAGGUAGGGGAGAAUGGGAUUCCUGGUGGAGCGGUGGAAUGCGCAGAUAUCAGGAGGAACACCAGUGGCGAAGACGGUUCUCUGGGCCUUUCCUGACGCUGAGGAGCGAAAGCGUGGGGAGCGAACAGGCUUAGAUACCCUGGUAGUCCACGCUGUAAACGGUGGGUACUAGGUGUGGGGUCCAUUCCGCGGGUUCCGUGCCGUAGCUAACGCUUUAAGUACCCCGCCUGGGGAGUACGGCCGCAAGGCUAAAACUCAAAGGAAUUGACGGGGGCCCGCACAAG
This 588-nucleotide ribosomal RNA is filed under the name uncultured bacterium. RNAcentral describes it as "bacterial SSU rRNA". It matches the Rfam family "Bacterial small subunit ribosomal RNA", at positions 331 to 929 of the family's 1533-position model. The record is from RNAcentral.